UAGGGAAUCUUCCACAAUGGACGCAAGUCUGAUGGAGCAACGCCGCGUGAGUGAAGAAGGUUUUCGGAUCGUAAAGCUCUGUUGUUGGUGAAGAAGGAUAGAGGCAGUAACUGGUCUUUAUUUGACGGUAAUCAACCAGAAAGUCACGGCUAACUACGUGCCAGCAGCCGCGGUAAUACGUAGGUGGCAAGCGUUGUCCGGAUUUAUUGGGCGUAAAGCGAGCGCAGGCGGAAUGAUAAGUCUGAUGUGAAAGCCCACGGCUCAACCGUGGAACUGCAUCGGAAACUGUCAUUCUUGAGUGCAGAAGAGGAGAGUGGAAUUCCAUGUGUAGCGGUGGAAUGCGUAGAUAUAUGGAAGAACACCAGUGGCUAAGGCGGCUCUCUGGUCUGCAACUGACGCUGAGGCUCGAAAGCAUGGGUAGCGAACAGG
RNAcentral lists this ribosomal RNA (429 nucleotides) under Bacillota bacterium. RNAcentral describes it as "Firmicutes bacterium partial 16S ribosomal RNA". It matches the Rfam family "Bacterial small subunit ribosomal RNA", at positions 355 to 776 of the family's 1533-position model. Lineage: Bacteria; Bacillati; Bacillota. The record is from RNAcentral.